CAACGGGUAGGUAUUGGACAGAGUAGACAGAACCUGGACAAGCAGGCUAGUAUCCACAGAGAAGGUCUUUGGGAAAACUGUAAUGCAAUACUUACCUUCAAGAGCAGGUGAAGCUGGAGUGGUGCUGGAAUCUUGUUGUGUUGCUAACGUUUACAAAGUGCUUACUUUGUGCCUGGAGCAAUCUCAAACAAUUUGGGAACGAGUCAUGUGAUCUUCACCAGAGUCUUAAUGUAACCCAGUGCAUUUUCCUGGAGGUAAUGAAUGAGUAGGUACAUCAGAAGACAGUGAACUCUUUGAAAGCCUUCAGUACUGAAAGCAAUGAAUGGCCACAGAGCCUGGGAUAGAGAAG
Artibeus jamaicensis (Jamaican fruit-eating bat) is the source of this 349-nucleotide long non-coding RNA. RefSeq lists it as uncharacterized. The record is from RefSeq and is a predicted model, not a curated record. The transcript has 4 exons. Lineage: Eukaryota; Metazoa; Chordata; Mammalia; Chiroptera; Phyllostomidae.